RNAcentral lists this ribosomal RNA (1081 nucleotides) under Clostridium botulinum. Its description in RNAcentral is "bacterial SSU rRNA". It matches the Rfam family "Bacterial small subunit ribosomal RNA", at positions 86 to 1188 of the family's 1533-position model. The record is from RNAcentral. Lineage: Bacteria; Bacillati; Bacillota; Clostridia; Eubacteriales; Clostridiaceae.
AGUGGAUUAGCGGCGGACGGGUGAGUAACACGUGGGUAACCUGCCUCAAAGUGGGGGAUAGCCUUCCGAAAGGAAGAUUAAUACCGCAUAACAUAAGAGAAUCGCAUGAUUUUCUUAUCAAAGAUUUAUUGCUUUGAGAUGGACCCGCGGCGCAUUAGCUAGUUGGUAAGGUAACGGCUUACCAAGGCAACGAUGCGUAGCCGACCUGAGAGGGUGAUCGGCCACAUUGGAACUGAGACACGGUCCAGACUCCUACGGGAGGCAGCAGUGGGGAAUAUUGCGCAAUGGGGGAAACCCUGACGCAGCAACGCCGCGUGGGUGAUGAAGGUCUUCGGAUUGUAAAGCCCUGUUUUCUGGGACGAUAAUGACGGUACCAGAGGAGGAAGCCACGGCUAACUACGUGCCAGCAGCCGCGGUAAUACGUAGGUGGCGAGCGUUGUCCGGAUUUACUGGGCGUAAAGGGUGCGUAGGCGGAUGUUUAAGUGGGAUGUGAAAUCCCCGGGCUUAACCUGGGGGCUGCAUUCCAAACUGGAUAUCUAGAGUGCAGGAGAGGAAAGCGGAAUUCCUAGUGUAGCGGUGAAAUGCGUAGAGAUUAGGAAGAACACCAGUGGCGAAGGCGGCUUUCUGGACUGUAACUGACGCUGAGGCACGAAAGCGUGGGUAGCAAACAGGAUUAGAUACCCUGGUAGUCCACGCCGUAAACGAUGGAUACUAGGUGUAGGGGGUAUCAACUCCCCCUGUGCCGCAGUUAACACAAUAAGUAUCCCGCCUGGGGAGUACGGUCGCAAGAUUAAAACUCAAAGGAAUUGACGGGGGCCCGSMCAAGCAGCGGAGCAUGUGGUUUAAUUCGAAGCAACGCGAAGAACCUUACCUGGACUUGACAUCCCUUGCAUAGCCUAGAGAUAGGUGAAGCCCUUCGGGGCAAGGAGACAGGUGGUGCAUGGUUGUCGUCAGCUCGUGUCGUGAGAUGUUAGGUUAAGUCCUGCAACGAGCGCAACCCUUGUUAUUAGUUGCUACCAUUAAGUUGAGCACUCUAAUGAGACUGCCUGGGUAACCAGGAGGAAGGUGGGGAUGACGUCAA